UCCACUCUCCACUCUCCAGUGUAUUUUAAACUCGCCAAUCUUUUCAAUUUAGGGUUUUCAAAUUCAACUCCAACGGUAACAAUUAAGGUUUUGCACUGUAAAUUAGAGUGUUGAAUAGCAUGGAGCAGAGCGGAUGUGAAGAAAGAGGGAGAAAAGUUUCUGAUUUGAAGUGUGAAAAGAUUAUCCUUUCGGUUGAUGAAUCAACUCAAAAACCAGAAACUAUUGAAACCCGGAAAAGUUUGGAAGCUAGCAUGUUUGCAUCUCAAACACCUGCCAAGACGAAUGAGCCUUUGCAUGCUAAAUUCAGAGAAGGAGAACUUGAAAUUUUAGAAAGGCACAAGACAAUUGUAGAACUCUUUGAUAGUAUGAAUUGUUCAUUGAGGUUGCUGGUUAUGAGAAAAAAGUCACCUACUUUUCAAAAUAUAUCUGCCCAAGUUGAAGUCUUGACUCAAAGGAAGUUCUCUUACGGACAUCUUGCACGGAUAAAAUAUUUACUUCCUGAAGCUAUACAGAUGGAUAAGAUUCUUGUGCAUGACAAGAAAUCCCUGUGCAUGAAGCCAGAUAUGAAAAUCGGAGUGCUGUUUGAUGUUGUAGAAGGCCACGAUGAGGAAUCUGAUUUUAUUGCUCUGCGCCAAGUUUUCGCUUCUAGGCUUGUUGAUUACUUUAUAAAGCAUCCUGAGGCCUGUGAUAUCCCACAGGCUAUAUUACCAGGUCCAUUUAACCAAAGUAAGGAGGCUGCUUUUGAGGACAAGGCUGGUGACCAUUCAAUGGCUGUCUUUUGUGAGCCCUUUAAUGAAAUAAGUGAGAUCAUUGCUCCAGAACCAAUGAUCACAGAUCAAUCAAGAGAAUAUCUGCCAGCUGCCAUUGAAAGUCAGAUGUUGUCCACUCCAUCCCAUCUACGCCCAUCUUUCAAUAGGCACUUCUCUCAGAAGACUUUUUCUGAAGAGGAGAAGGUGCAACUGUUAGCAUCUCCCGUUCCUUCAUCAGUUUCACCAUCUGGCGAUCUGCAUAAUGAGCAUCUCAAUGAAGCAAGAACUGGAGAAUUUCCUGAGUUUUGUUCUAAAUUUAAUUUUAAGACCAACCUGGACAUCAAAAGCGAACGAGCAAGACAAUCGUGCAUACCAUAUUCCAAAUUUACUUCUUUCAAUCCUCUGCCUAGCCAACCAAUCAAUCCUGAAGUCUCUGCUGAUGUGUAUACUUCUACCAGCCCCAAGUGUAAACCUGACUCAUCUGUUGAUAAAUUACUGUUAGAAACACCUGCACAGUCAACUCCAAGGAGAGCAAUGGAUAGCUCUGAUGACAAGCACAAGGACACUACUGGCCAAAAGCAGACAUUAUCUUGUAAGCCUGCAAAAAGGGUGCUAGAUUUCUCAUACAUGGAAGCCGAUAAAGGUGCAUCAGAAUACUAUGAAUUCUUACAUGAUAGUAGCACUCAACCUCUUGCUGGCUCUUCUUCACUACUUAAAAAGGUGGAGGGAAGCCUUGGUCACUCAUCUGUAGAUCAGAAAACCUGUCAGUCUGAUACAGUGCACCAGCAGAUGUCUAUUCAGUUGCCUGACCUAGUUUCUCUGGUUCACCACAUAUUCCAGUCAGUUAACUUCUCCCCAAUUACAAAGGAGGAACUUGUGCACAAGAUAAUUCUAGAUAGUUUAGAUAUUGUUGACAGAAGUAGGUCACGAUGGGUCUCCCUUUAUAGCAGCACCCUUCGUAUUUUUCUCAUUGAAUCAUUGGUUAGUGAACUCACUCAGUCUACUUUUACAGUGGCGGUUGAAGAACAGAUUGGGAUUCUUGAAAAGCGAGUUCCAGAUUGGAUUUGCAGGUUACCAGCACCUAGUGGUGAUGUCUUGUACAAGUGGGUGUAUCACACAUCUCUUUGAUCUCUUAUGCAACUAUCUAUCCAUGAGGAGAACUGUAAAGAAAAUAUUGUGGGGGGCACCUAGACAUUAGAAGAUGGAUAUGCAUGUUUCUCUGUAUACGUGAAUAUUUUGCAAAUGUGUAUAACAGGUCACAACUAAACAUGUUAAUCUGUUUAUUUUGAGGAUCAAGAAAAUGUCAGACUUGGAAACAGUUCAGGCGAUGGUACUCAUAGCAUAGGUCAAUAUCUAAAGGUAUCUUGAUUUAGUACAAGUUGUUCUGGCACUAGAAGGGAAAUGUAAUUUGAUGCAUGGACUCGGACCCAGAGUUCUCGCUAAUCCCAUCCUCCCCCAAUAAUUUGCUUUCUUGCUUAAUUAUAUAGACACAGUAGAUUUUUAGUCGCAUAGGGAGGCGUCAACCAGAUGGUGCAGAGCGAAACUUGUAUUUGACUCGACUGAUCGUUGAAUGUUAUGUUAGUAGGGUGAUCUCUGCUUCCAUUUUUAUCCA
Populus nigra (black poplar) is the source of this 2361-nucleotide RNA transcript. It is a transcript of the gene named CDT1-like protein b, with no coding region annotated. NCBI's taxonomy places the organism in Eukaryota, Viridiplantae, Streptophyta, Magnoliopsida, Malpighiales, Salicaceae. The transcript is spliced from 7 exons. The record is from RefSeq and is a predicted model, not a curated record.